GACGAACGCUGGCGGCGUGCUUAACACAUGCAAGUCGAACGGAAAGGCCCUGCUUUUGUGGGGUGCUCGAGUGGCGAACGGGUGAGUAACACGUGAGUAACCUGCCCUUGACUUUGGGAUAACUUCAGGAAACUGGGGCUAAUACCGGAUAGGAGCUGCUGCUGGAUGGUGGGGGUUGGAAAGGUUCGGUGGUUGGGGAUGGACUGGCGGCUUAUCAGCUUGUUGGUGGGGGAGUGGCUUACCAAGGCUUUGACGGGUAGCCGGCCUGAGAGGGUGACCGGCCACAUUGGGACUGGGCUACGGCCCAGACUCCUACGGGAGGCAGCAGUGGGGUAUAUUGCACAAUGGGCGGAAGCCUGAUCCAGCAACGCCGCGUGCGGGAUGUCGGCCUUCGGUUUGUAAACCGCUUUCGCCUGUGACGAAGCGUGAGUGACGGUAAUGGGUAAAGAAGCACCGGCUAACUACGUG
This 468-nucleotide ribosomal RNA is filed under the name uncultured bacterium. RNAcentral's name for it is "partial 16S ribosomal RNA". It matches the Rfam family "Bacterial small subunit ribosomal RNA", at positions 28 to 507 of the family's 1533-position model. The record is from RNAcentral.